GACGAACGCUGGCGGCGUGCUUAACACAUGCAAGUCGAACGGAAAGGCCCUGCGUGUGUGGGGUGCUCGAGUGGCGAACGGGGGAGUAACACGUGAGUAACCUGCUCUUGACUUUGGGAUAUCUUCAGGAAACUGGGGCUAAUACCGGAUAGGAGCUCCUGCUGCGUGGUGGGGGGUGGAAAGUCUCGGCGGUCGGGGAUGGACUGGCGGCUGAUCAGCUUGUUGGUGGGGUAGGGGCUGACCAAGGCUUUGGCGGGUCGCCGGCCUGUGAGGGUGGCCGGCCACAAUGGGACUGAGAUACGGCGCAGACGCCUACGGGAGGCAACAGUGGGGAGUAUUGCACAAUGGGCGGAAGCCUGAUGCGGAGACGCUGCGUGCGGGAUGACGGCCUUCGGGGUGUAAACAGCUUUCGCCUAUGACGAAGCGUGAGUGACGGUAAUGAAUAAAGAAGCACCGGCUAACUACGUG
This 468-nucleotide ribosomal RNA is filed under the name uncultured bacterium. RNAcentral describes it as "partial 16S ribosomal RNA". It matches the Rfam family "Bacterial small subunit ribosomal RNA", at positions 28 to 507 of the family's 1533-position model. The record is from RNAcentral.